RNAcentral lists this ribosomal RNA (406 nucleotides) under uncultured bacterium. RNAcentral describes it as "partial 16S ribosomal RNA". It matches the Rfam family "Bacterial small subunit ribosomal RNA", at positions 29 to 526 of the family's 1533-position model. The record is from RNAcentral.
AUUGAACGCUGGCGGCAGGCCUAACACAUGCAAGUCGAACGAGUGGCGGAGGGGUGAGAAAUGUCUGGGCAACUGCCCGAUGGGGGGGGGGAACUCUUGGAAACGGGGUCUAAUACAGCAUACCAUCGGAUGUGCCCAGAUGGGAUUAUAUAGUGGGGGGGGUAACGGCUCACCUAGGGGACGAUCCCUAGCGGGUGUGUGAGGAUGACCAGCCACACUGGAACUGAGACACGGUCCAGACUCCUACGGGAGGCAGCAGUGGGGAAUAUUGCACAAUGGGCGCAAGCCUGAUGCAGCCAUGCCGCGUGUGUGAAGAAGGCCUUCGGGUUGGAAAGUACUUUCAGCGAGGAGGCGUUACUCGCAGAAGAAGCACCGGCUAACUCCGUGCCAGCAGCCGCGGUAAUUC